RNAcentral lists this ribosomal RNA (254 nucleotides) under uncultured bacterium. Its description in RNAcentral is "partial 16S ribosomal RNA". It matches the Rfam family "Bacterial small subunit ribosomal RNA", at positions 524 to 776 of the family's 1533-position model. The record is from RNAcentral.
GACGGAGGGUGCUAGCGUUGUUCGGAAUCACUGGGCGUAAAGGGCGCGUAGGCGGCCUUGCAAGUCGGUUGGUGAAAGCCCGGGGCUCAACCCCGGAGGUGCGGCCGAGACUGCAGGGCUGGAGGCCGGAAGAGGAGGGUGGAAUACCCAGUGUAGAGGUGAAAUUCGUAGAUAUUGGGUGGAACACCGGUGGCGAAAGCGGCUCUCUGGUCCGGACCUGACGCUGAGGCGCGAAAGCCAGGGGAGCAAACAGG